AACGAACGCUGGCGGCAUGCCUAACACAUGCAAGUCGAACGAGACCUUCGGGUCUAGUGGCGCACGGGUGCGUAACGCGUGGGAACCUGCCUUUAGGUUCGGAAUAACUCAGAGAAAUUUGAGCUAAUACCGGAUAAUGUCUUCGGACCAAAGAUUUAUCGCCUUUAGAUGGGCCCGCGUAAGAUUAGCUAGUUGGUGGGUAAAGGCCUACCAAGGCGACGAUCUUUAGCUGGUCUGAGAGGAUGAUCAGCCACACUGGGACUGAGACACGGCCCAGACUCCUACGGGAGGCAGCAGUGGGGAAUAUUGGGACAAUGGGCGAAAGCCUGAUCCAGCAAUGCCGCGUGAGUGAUGAAGGCCUUAGGGUUGUAAAGCUCUUUUACCCGAGAUGAUAAUGACAGUAUCGGGAGAAUAAGCU
Molecule: ribosomal RNA, 418 nt
Filed under: uncultured bacterium
Lineage: Bacteria
Description: bacterial SSU rRNA
Rfam family: Bacterial small subunit ribosomal RNA
Source: RNAcentral